Molecule: unclassified non-coding RNA, 404 nt
Filed under: soil metagenome
Description: partial contains 5.8S ribosomal RNA, internal transcribed spacer 2, and large subunit ribosomal RNA
Rfam family: 5.8S ribosomal RNA (bases 1-122)
Source: RNAcentral
GAUGAAGAACGUAGCAAAAUGCGAUACUUGGUGUGAAUUGCAGAAUCCCGUGAACCAUCGAGUUUUUGAACGCAAGUUGCGCCCGAAGCCUUUUGGCCGAGGGCACGUCUGCCUGGGCGUCACGCAUCGCGUCGCCCCCCACAAUUCUCCGUAAAGGGAACGUGUGUUUUGGGGGCGGAUAUUGGUCUCCCGUGCUCAUGGCGUGGUUGGCCGAAAUAGGAGUCCUUUCGAUGGACGCACGAACUAGUGGUGGUCGUAAAAACCCUCGUCUUUUGUUUCUUGCUGUUGCUCGCAAGGUAAACUCUUUAAAAACCCCAAUGUGUCGUCUCUUGACGACGCUUCGACCGCGACCCCAGGUCAGGCGGGACUACCCGCUGAGUUUAAGCAUAUCAAUAAGCGGAGGA